UACGUAGGGGGCAAGCGUUGUUCGGAAUUACUGGGCGUAAAGGGCGUGUAGGCGGCGCGGUAUGUUGGACGUGAAAUCCCCGAGCUCAACUCGGGGCGGUCGUUCAAAACUGCCGUGCUAGAGUGUGGGAGAGGGAAGUGGAAUUCCCGGUGUAGCGGUGAAAUGCGUAGAUAUCGGGAAGAACACCUGUGGCGAAGGCGGCUUCCUGGCCCACAACUGACGCUGAGGCGCGAAAGCUAGGGGAGCAAACAGG
Molecule: ribosomal RNA, 253 nt
Filed under: uncultured Acidobacteriota bacterium
Lineage: Bacteria; Pseudomonadati; Acidobacteriota
Description: uncultured Acidobacteria bacterium partial 16S ribosomal RNA
Rfam family: Bacterial small subunit ribosomal RNA
Source: RNAcentral